CGCCUUGUUAUCAAAAACAUGUUUUUUUGUUUAUUUAUUUAAGAUUGGCCCUGCUCAAUGAUAUUUAAAUAGCCGCGGUAAUUUAACUGUGCAAAGGUAGCAUAAUAAUUAGUCUUUUAAUUGAGGUCUGGAAUGAAUGGGUUGACAAGGAAAUAACUUUAUUUAUUAAUUUUUUAGGAAGUAAAAAUUUUGUUGGGGUGACAUAUAAAAUUUUAAACUUUAUUUUUUCUUUGCUUUUAUUUUUGGUUUAUUUGAUCCUUAAUUUUGGAUUUUAGAUUAAGAUACCUUAGGGAUAACAGCGUUAUAUAUUUGGAGAGUUCAAAUUGAUAAAUAUGUUUGCGACCUCGAUGUUGGAUUAAAUUUAAUUGUGGGGUAGG
This 377-nucleotide ribosomal RNA is filed under the name Betatropis formosana. RNAcentral describes it as "partial 16S ribosomal RNA". Lineage: Eukaryota; Metazoa; Arthropoda; Insecta; Hemiptera; Achilidae. The record is from RNAcentral.